AUACGGGGGGUGCAAGCGUUAAUCGGGAUUACUGGGCGUAAAGCGCGCGUAGGCGGUUUGCUCAGUCGGAUGUGAAAGCCCAGGGCUCAACCUUGGAACUGCAUACGAUACUGGCAAACUAGAGUGUGAGAGAGGAUAGUGGAAUUUCCGGUGUAGCGGUGAAAUGCGUAGAUAUCGGAAGGAACAUCAGUGGCGAAGGCGACUGUCUGGCUCAACACUGACGCUGAGGUGCGAAAGCGUGGGUAGCAAACAGGAUUAGAAACCCCAGUAGUCC
Molecule: ribosomal RNA, 274 nt
Filed under: uncultured bacterium
Lineage: Bacteria
Description: partial 16S ribosomal RNA
Rfam family: Bacterial small subunit ribosomal RNA
Source: RNAcentral